AGCUUUGCACAGCAGCAGUGUUGUAGCCAAUGAGAUUUAUCCGAGGUGUGAUUAUUGCUAAUUGAAAACUUUUCCCAAUACCCUGCCAUGAUGACUUGCAAUAUAGUCGGCAUUGGCAAUGUUUGACAGUCUCUGUACAGA
Small nuclear RNA from Cercocebus atys (sooty mangabey), 141 nucleotides. Its record names the gene U4. It matches the Rfam family "U4 spliceosomal RNA". Rfam says of the family: U4 small nuclear RNA (U4 snRNA) is a component of the major U2-dependent spliceosome. The structure of U4 snRNA from yeast and human has been reported. The record is from Ensembl. Lineage: Eukaryota; Metazoa; Chordata; Mammalia; Primates; Cercopithecidae.